AGAAAUCUCACCAGGCCCGGACACUGGAAGGAUUGACAGAUUGAUAGCUCUUCCUUGAUUCGGUGGGUGGUGGUGCAUGGCCGUUCUUAGUUGGUGGAGCGAUCUGUCUGGUUAAUUCCGAUAACGAACGAGACCCCAACCUGCUAACUAGCCCUCGGGUCCUGCUUCUGUUGGGCCCGACGGAAUGAUUCGCUUCUUAGAGGGACUCGCGGCGCCUAGCCGCACGAAGGGGGGCGAUAA
RNAcentral lists this ribosomal RNA (240 nucleotides) under uncultured eukaryote. RNAcentral describes it as "partial 18S ribosomal RNA". It matches the Rfam family "Eukaryotic small subunit ribosomal RNA", at positions 1208 to 1456 of the family's 1831-position model. The record is from RNAcentral.